This 253-nucleotide ribosomal RNA is filed under the name uncultured bacterium. RNAcentral's name for it is "partial 16S ribosomal RNA". It matches the Rfam family "Bacterial small subunit ribosomal RNA", at positions 524 to 776 of the family's 1533-position model. The record is from RNAcentral.
UACGUAGGGGGCAAGCGUUGUCCGGAUUUAUUGGGCGUAAAGAGCGUGUAGGCGGCCAGGUAGGUCUGCUGUGAAAACUCGAGGCUUAACCUCGAGAUGUCGGCGGAAACCAUCUGGCUAGAGUCCGGAAGAGGAGAAUGGAAUUCCCGGUGUAGCGGUGAAAUGCGCAGAUAUCGGGAAGAACACCCGUGGCGAAGGCGGCCUGCUGGGCAGUGGCUGACGCUGAGGCGCGACAGCGUGGGGAGCAAACAGG